AGGGGUAACAGGGAGCUUGCUCCGCUGACGACCGGCGCACGGGUGCGUAACGCGUAUGCAACCUACCUUUUACAGGGGAAUAGCCCAGAGAAAUUUGGAUUAAUGCCCCAUAGUGACCCUUGGUCGAUUGGCCUGGGGGUCUAAAGAUUUAUCGGUAAAAGAUGGGCAUGCGUUCUAUUAGCUAGAUGGUGUGGUAACGGCACACCAUGGCUACGAUAGAUAGGGGCCCUGAGAGGGGGAUCCCCCACACUGGUACUGAGACACGGACCAGACUCCUACGGGAGGCAGCAGUGAGGAAUAUUGGACAAUGGAGGCAACUCUGAUCCAGCCAUGCCGCGUGCAGGAAGACGGCCCUAUGGGUUGUAAACUGCUUUUAUACGGGAAGAAACCCGCCCACGUGUGGGCGGCUGACGGUACCGUAAGAAUAAGGAUCGGCUAACUCCGUGCCAGCAGCCGCGGUAAUACGGAGGAUCCAAGCGUUAUCCGGAAUCAUUGGGUUUAAAGGGUCCGUAGGUGGAUUGUUAAGUCAGGGGUGAAAGUCUGCGGCUCAACCGUAGAAUUGCCCUUGAUACUGGCGAUCUUGAGUUAUUGUGAAGUAGCUAGAAUAUGUAGUGUAGCGGUGAAAUGCAUAGAUAUUACAUAGAAUACCGAUUGCGAAGGCAGGUUACUAACAAUGUACUGACACUGAUGGACGAAAGCGUGGGUAGCGAACAGGAUUAGAUACCCUGGUAGUCCACGCCGUAAACGAUGGUCACUAGCUGUCCGGACUUAGGUCUGGGUGGCUAAGCGAAAGUGAUAAGUGACCCACCUGGGGAGUACGUUCGCAAGAAUGAAACUCAA
This 840-nucleotide ribosomal RNA is filed under the name Flavobacteriaceae bacterium Hel_I_9. Its description in RNAcentral is "bacterial SSU rRNA". It matches the Rfam family "Bacterial small subunit ribosomal RNA", at positions 65 to 904 of the family's 1533-position model. Lineage: Bacteria; Pseudomonadati; Bacteroidota; Flavobacteriia; Flavobacteriales; Flavobacteriaceae. The record is from RNAcentral.